UAUCUUAUUUUGAAAAAGGACCGGAUACACCCGUGUGUACGUCUGAGCCGCGUUUAGGAGUCUUAAAGUUCGGGUUUAUCGCUGCAGGCGAGUCUCACGCGUCGAACCCUCUGCUGGCGGCACAGUGACACAGAAUCUUAAAACAUAUUCAACCUGCUCAAUGAAUUCUGUCACUUCAGGGAAAUGACAACUGUUUUCAAGUUGGCCGAUAAAGUCGCUGCUGUGUGGGCGAGUGAACAGCGGAAUAUUCUAUAUGUUUCAGACGUUGACCGGGUGGAAGAGGCUUUUAAAAGAGUUUGAGCGGUACUCCAACCACAAAAGACCCGACUGCAAAAGAAUAGACCUGCAACCCAUUUGUAAACAAACCCACCCGGUGAAUCGAGCCCGUCCGAGCUAGAAAUAAAUGUGUUCGAGAUGCAAAUGACGGUGGCCUGAAGGGACAUUUCACACAACAACUCUGCCGGUGUUCUAAUGACAGCGACCAGAACUCGGUUAGGAGCAGCGGACCAAACACACGUCUGUGUCGCCGUCUCCAUAAGCGGCUCGUUGCAGGCAUAUAGCAUGCAGACAUACUGACAGUGUGAUGGAGACUGGACGAAAGGUAACUUUUCUGAUGAACCUUGGAGUCAUCUUAAAAGCAUCUUGGCAGCUUCAUACUGUGCAGAGUACGAUGUUCAAAACACCUUUUCAUACCUAAUCAUACCUGUAAUGUUGAAUGAGUGUUGUUGUAUGGCAUCAAUAUAUAUUAUUUAUUCUGCAUGCAAUGCAUUGCUUCUAUUGCACUGAAAGGAAGUUUGACACUGUAAAUUACUUUUCUAAAAAUGUAUACCUUCUUGGCGAGCGUUUUCUGUCUUAUGUAUUCACUGGAGUCCUGGAAGCUUUUG
Molecule: long non-coding RNA, 884 nt
Organism: Pseudoliparis swirei
Lineage: Eukaryota; Metazoa; Chordata; Actinopteri; Perciformes; Liparidae
Exons: 3
Source: RefSeq, a predicted model, not a curated record